GGAUCCUUUAAGGCCGAGACACGAGAUGAACUGACCACGGUCAGGAAGUCACUGAUGCCACGCUUCCAGGAAAAGCCUCUAAGCUUCAGAUCAUGUGCGACCGUACCCCAAACCGACACAGGUGGUCAGGGUGAGAAUCCCAAGGCGCUUGAGAGAACUCGGGUGAAGGAACUAGGCAAAAUGGUGCCGUAACUUCGGGAGAAGGCACGCCGGCGUAGGGUGAUGAGACUUGCUCUCUAAGCCCGAACCGGUCGAAGAUACCAGGUGGCUGCAACUGUUUAUUAAAAACACAGCACUCUGCUAACGCGCAAGCGGACGUAUAGGGUGUGACGCCUGCCCGGUGCCGGAAGGUUAAAUGAUGGUGUUAGCCGCAAGGCGAAGCUCUUGAUUGAAGCCCCGGUAAACGGCGGCCGUAACUAUAACGGUCCUAAGGUAGCGAAAUUCCUUGUCGGGUAAGUUCCGACCUGCACGAAUGGCGUAAUGAUGGCCACGCUGUCUCCACCCGAGACUCAGUGAAAUUGAAAUCGCCGUGAAGAUGCGGUGUACCCGCGGCUAGACGGAAAGACCCCGUGAACCUUUACUAUAGCUUCACACUGGACGCUGAUGUUGCCUGUGUAGGAUAGCUGGGAGGCUUUGAAACUCGGACGCCAGUUCGGGCGGAGCCAACCUUGAAAUACCAGCCUGGCAUCAUUGGCGUUCUCACUCAGGUCCGUUAUCCGGAUCGAGGACAGUGUGUGGUGGGUAGUUUGACUGGGGCGGUCUCCUCCUAAAGAGUAACGGAGGAGCACGAAGGUACCCUCAGCACGGUCGGACAUCGUGCAUUGAGUGCAAGAGCAUAAGGGUGCUUGACUGCGAGACAGACACGUCGAGCAGGUGCGAAAGCAGGUUCUAGUGAUCCGGUGGUUCUGUAUGGAAGGGCCAUCGCUCAACGGAUAAAAGGUACUCCGGGGAUAACAGGCUGAUACCGCCCAAGAGUUCACAUCGACGGCGGUGUUUGGCACCUCGAUGUCGGCUCAUCACAUCCUGGGGCUGAAGUCGGUCCCAAGGGUAUGGCUGUUCGCCAUUUAAAGUGGUACGCGAGCUGGGUUUAGAACGUCGUGAGACAGUUCGGUCCCUAUCUGCCGUGGGCGUUGGAUGUUUGAGAAGGGCUGCUCCUAGUACGAGAGGACCGGAGUGGACGACCCUCUGGUGUUCCGGUUGUCACGCCAGUGGCAUUGCCGGGUAGCUAUGGUCGGACGGGAUAACCGCUGAAAGCAUCUAAGCGGGAAGCCCCCUUCAAGAUGAGACAUCCCUGAGGCCUAGAGCCUCCUGAAGGGCCCAGCGAGACCAGCUGGUUGAUAGGCACGGUGUGGAAGCGCUGCAAGGCGUUGAGCUAACGUGUACUAAUGGCCCGUGAGGCUUGACCCUAUAACACCCAAGGGGUCUGGUCGUAAUGAUGACG
The sequence is a ribosomal RNA, 1441 nucleotides long. It matches the Rfam family "Bacterial large subunit ribosomal RNA", at positions 1543 to 2925 of the family's 2925-position model.